UCAUCAUUCCUAGGUGGUUUGUUGAUACCGAAGCCCUGACUGUUACCGCAGUUGGGGUUUCAACU
Molecule: non-coding RNA, 65 nt
Filed under: Klebsiella pneumoniae
Lineage: Bacteria; Pseudomonadati; Pseudomonadota; Gammaproteobacteria; Enterobacterales; Enterobacteriaceae
Source: RNAcentral